Long non-coding RNA from Mus caroli (Ryukyu mouse), 1067 nucleotides. RefSeq lists it as uncharacterized. The record is from RefSeq and is a predicted model, not a curated record. NCBI's taxonomy places the organism in Eukaryota, Metazoa, Chordata, Mammalia, Rodentia, Muridae.
GUACCCUGGAGAGAACGUCCACCCACUGCUCAAAGCAGAAACUGCGUCCUCCAGCGCAGGUGGAGCCCCAUUGGUACAAGUUGUCCAAGCUCAGCUCUGCAGCCUGCUUCUAUUGAGAUUUCCCUCAAACAAAAAUAAAGAUGGAAAGAGCUGCCGAGAACAUACAGUCAGGGGCUGCUCUCAUUGGCCACUCUCGGGCCAUGUCUUCCUCCAGCUCCUCUUAAUGCCCCGAGGGCCCGUGCUGAGCCUCAGGAUGACCGAUCAAACUGUGACAGGGAAAAAUGUGAGAUUCAGACCUGCUUCUCCUUGGCCAGAGGGAAGGAAGGGAGCGAGGAGCAGCGUGAGGGGAGUGAGGCGCAGCAUGAAGGGAGCGAGGCGCAGAGUGAAGGGGACUUACUACAUCUCAGAAGUCCUGUCAGACCCUGUGAGUGAAGCUGGCUUACCCAGCUGCAGCCCCAUACUCCAAGUUGCUCCGUCAUAGCUGAAUCACCGGUCUAUCUGAGGUCUCUGCAGACCAUGACCACCAGUGCACUUGGCUGCCUCCUACUCUCCUGGCACCACCGAGUGACAGGCACCUUGUUGCCUCCUGACUCUUCAGAGCAUUCUGUAUGUCAUCCAUCCACCUUGCCAUGAAUUGAGAAGCCUUCUGAGCAUCUGAGUAGCAGGAAGUCACUUGAAUCAUCGGAUAAGGCUUUGCUAAAUCACUCUGGCAGUGCGCCCCAGACUUGGGGCAAAGGGAUUAUGGGGUGUUUGUUAGUGACCUCCUGGGGGGUUGACUGGCUGUUCUUUCCUGGACCUGCUGACUCAAAAGGGUAGCAUUUUGACAUUCUGGUAACUACAGUACUACACAGUUCUGAAGGGGCAGAAGGAGAUAACCUGUAGAAAACCAUUAAGACAAAUAAAUUUUAUCUGUGGGGAUACAAUUGAUUUCUAUCCCGUGGAAAAGAUAGCCCCAUAAAAUAUAGUCUGUCAUCUUAUAGGAUACUAUUUUUCAUCUACUUGUGAAUUCAUUUCAGCAUUUCUGCCUAUAUAUGUUACAAACUCCUCUUUGAAUGGGCCAUAACCUU